This 741-nucleotide ribosomal RNA is filed under the name uncultured bacterium. RNAcentral describes it as "bacterial SSU rRNA". It matches the Rfam family "Bacterial small subunit ribosomal RNA", at positions 60 to 811 of the family's 1533-position model. The record is from RNAcentral.
CACCUUAUUUGAUUUUCUUCGGAACUGAAGAUUUGGUGAUUGAGUGGCGGACGGGUGAGUAACGCGUGGGUAACCUGCCCUGUACAGGGGGAUAACAGUCAGAAAUGACUGCUAAUACCGCAUAAGACCACAGCACCGCAUGGUGCAGGGGUAAAAACUCCGGUGGUACAGGAUGGACCCGCGUCUGAUUAGCUGGUUGGUGAGGUAGCGGCUCACCAAGGCGACGAUCAGUAGCCGGCUUGAGAGAGUGAACGGCCACAUUGGGACUGAGACACGGCCCAAACUCCUACGGGAGGCAGCAGUGGGGAAUAUUGCACAAUGGGGGAAACCCUGAUGCAGCGACGCCGCGUGANNGAAGAAGUAUCUCGGUAUGUAAAGCUCUAUCAGCAGGGAAGAAAAUGACGGUACCUGACUAAGAAGCCCCGGCUAACUACGUGCCAGCAGCCGCGGUAAUACGUAGGGGGCAAGCGUUAUCCGGAAUUACUGGGUGUAAAGGGUGCGUAGGUGGUAUGGCAAGUCAGAAGUGAAAACCCAGGGCUUAACUCUGGGACUGCUUUUGAAACUGUCAGACUGGAGUGCAGGAGAGGUAAGCGGAAUUCCUAGUGUAGCGGUGAAAUGCGUAGAUAUUAGGAGGAACAUCAGUGGCGAAGGCGGCUUACUGGACAGCAACUGACGUUGAGGCUCGAAAGCGUGGGUAGCAAACAGGAUUAGAUACCCUGGUAGUCCACGCUGUAAACGAUG